This is a long non-coding RNA of Syzygium oleosum, 671 nucleotides long. RefSeq lists it as uncharacterized. NCBI's taxonomy places the organism in Eukaryota, Viridiplantae, Streptophyta, Magnoliopsida, Myrtales, Myrtaceae. The transcript has 2 exons. The record is from RefSeq and is a predicted model, not a curated record.
UUUGCGAUCCAGUCUGCAACGUAAUUGGUUUCUCGUGGACAGUGGGCCAGGGAGAUCCCUCGCGUUUGGGUGAGUAGUUCAUUACAUUCCUCAAAAAGUCUUCUCAAAGCCCAUGGGCUGAGGGGCGGAUGUUCUGUAAAACUAACAGUGGCUGGACUGUCGGUCAAAAUUGUCACAUGCUCUGCCAGACUGUCUUCCUUUUCGGCCAAUUCACGCAGACAGAGGAUGGCUUCCUUCACCGCAGUACCUUCGACUUCCAGAGGAGAGCUAGCAACCACCCCUUUAGCAAACCCUGUUAUAAUCAAACCUCUGGAAUCUCUACAAACACCACUCACUGAUCCCUCUAGUAUUGCGUUCGGUUGGGUUUUGCAAGCGGUAGAAUCUGCUUAGAUUGAUAGCUUCAUCAACGAUAACACCCGAUUUUGGGGAAACCUGUUGGAACACCUGGGCAUUUCUGGCCUUCCAGAUUUGCCAAAGGAUACCAGCGAGCAGUUCUUGGAGAGCCGAGAAACCGCCAGUAAGUGCUUCAUCUAACCACUUAUCCAUUCUUGUCAAGUUUGUCGGAGAAACAUCCAUCUGUAUUCUUUGAUCAGACCAAAUAUGCUUGAUCCAAUCGCACAAGAUGAAGGUGUGCUCCAUCGUUUCUGGAGCUUGCUGGCAAAUUGGGCAAA